Molecule: long non-coding RNA, 6240 nt
Filed under: Marmota monax (woodchuck)
Lineage: Eukaryota; Metazoa; Chordata; Mammalia; Rodentia; Sciuridae
Source: RNAcentral
CAUUUGAGGACCCAUCAGCACCUCGUGUCGCCGCGGCUUCUCCUCUGGUUCACCUUUUCUCUAAUUUGUGAAGGGAGCGGGGAAGAGGCAGCUGCCUCCCGAAGCCUUGAGCCAGUUCCUUCUGCCUGGAGUCCCUGCAGCCGCCACAGCAAGGGGCCUUUGGCGGAAAUGAAACGGACCGAAAGGCUCACUGUGCUUUAUGAAAUGCUGAGGUCUCUCUGGGAAGCUUCCCCACCUGAGAAGCUAGAAGAGCUGCACCAGGAAACUUGUCCCCACUUGGGGCUCAGAUAGGGGUCAGCUCCAAGCACCAUCUGCUCUCGCCAGAAUCCAGCCUGCCGUCCUAACUGCACGUCUUUUACAGGUUCCUUUACAGUGAGUUAAUGAAAUACAACCCCCAGACUGCGAAGGACAGUAUAUUUGAGCUUGCCAGGGGAGGAGAGAAGCUCCAGAUAAAAAAGACUGUUUCGUUCCACCUGUACAUCAGGUCUGUACCCUGCCGGGCUCCCAGGAUGGGCUUCCACCUGCUCUGCCGGCCCCUAAAUCUGACCCCACGCAACAGGCCACACGCUCCACUGAGGUACCAUGAGGUACAUUCCCCAGUGGAGGAUGACUGUCCUAGACACAGCUGCCCCCUCCAGCAUCCCCUGGUGGGCUCCAGGAAACAUCCCAGCUCCAGCCGCAGCAGACUAGGGACCCCGAGAAGUUGGAGUUCCCUCCUGCGCAGGUGAGUGACGGACACCCCUGUGUUGCAGCACUGCCCCGUGUGGAGACGGCGCCCUCUUCGACAAGUCCUGCAGUGACCGCGCCCUGGAAAGCACAGAUUCCCGCCACUACCCUGUCUUUGAGAAUCCCAAACAAGGCAAGCUGCGCACCAAGGUGGAGAAUGGUGAGUGCCACACAGGCUCUGCGAGACCCCCGUGUGCGCCACUCGUCACGGGGGAGGACUGUAGGGAGGGGAAGUUCCAUUCUGAAUCUGUUAGCUCAGGUGAUGAGAGCCUGGGGGGGAAGAAAGGACAGAGCGUGUCCUCCUGGGGUCUCCACGGCCGGCACAGGCAGAGUGCGGGGGGAGGGCGGCGGAAGUGAAAAGUCAGGCCCUCCGUCUGGUGGCCUCGGACCUGGCCUCCUGCCCCCUCGCGCCUUCCUGCCUGUCCCCCAGCAUCUCCUUCUCCUCCGGUCACCCCUGCUCCCUUCAUGCUUCAGCAGUCGUCUGCGUCACUGUCAAGCCCAAGUCAGGUCACGUCAGUUCCCUGCUGGCCACCCUGAAGUCUGGACAGCACCACGUGGCCCAGCAGUCCUCCUGGGCUAUCCCCAGGAGAAGUGAAAGCCCAGGUCCACACAGAGCUAGUUCGGGCGCCUUCACAGCAGCCGGGCAGGGGACACGGCCAGCGCCCUCCCCUCCAUGACAGAAAAGUAAAACCGCCACAUCCAUGCGAGGGACUGUCCUUGGCCAUGACAUGAAGUAAGCAUUGACCCAGCUACAGUGAGGUCACCCUGAAAACGUCAUGCUAAGCGCAAAAAGCCCCAAAAGAUCACGUGGUGUGACUCCAUUUCUAUGAAAUAUCCAGAAUAAAUGAGUUCUACAGACAGGAAGUGCCUGAGAGGCUGCCCGGAUGAGGGACGGAGGGAGGUGGGAGUGAGAGCCAGCCGAGGUCGGGUUGGGGUUGAUCGUGCCGAUGUAUAAUCCCAUGGUGCAUAACCUCAGAAACGCCAAAAACCACUGAACAGCUUGCUUUCAAUGGCGAGUUGUAGUAUACGACUUGUAUCUCAGUAAAGCUGGUAUUUUUUAAAAAAACGCAAGCACCAUGUAGGGUCUCCCACUGCCCUUGAUACGAAGGCAACCUGAGCCAGGCACAGUGGCCCAGGCCUGCAAUCCCAGCAGCUCCGGAGGCUGAGGCAGGAGGAUCACGAGUUCAAAGCCAGCCUUAGCGAGGCCCAGAGCAACUCAGCAAGACCCUGUCUGUACUGAAAGCCCACCUCCCGGCCUCAGCCUGCCCAGUCUUCUCUUUGGUGAUUCUCUGGUGCCCCCGAAACACCGAAACCCUCGCUGCCUCAGGCCGUGGCUUCUGCCGCUCGCUCCCUGUCUGAAUGGGUUAGGACUCUUCUCCCUCCAGCUGCUCCCUGCCUCCUCCACCCAGGAGCUCGCGGUGCCGUCCCCCCGGCUCUCCCACAGGCCUUCCCCACGCUGUCAGCAUCUGGAGUUCCCACCUGCUCACUGGUGCAUCUGCUUAGUGCUCUCCUUUCCCUUUCUGUCCCUCACCCCUGAACACCGCGGGACAGCACGGACCUCACUGAGGUCUGCUCCCCAGUGUUUCCCAGCUCCCAGCACAGUGACCGCCGUGUCCUCCAGGACUGUGAGCCACAUGGAGAAUGAAGGGCCGAGCUGCCGGUGGCCCGGCCUCAGGAGCUCAAGUCCCGCGCUAGGGGUGGUUUGGUGGCCUCUGUGGAUCUGACCCGAGUCUCUCACACAGGGGAAGGCACCAUCCCUGUGGAGUCCAGUGACAUUGUGCCUACGUGGGAUGGCAUCCGGCUUGGGGAGAGACUCCGCACCAUGUCCUGUAGUGACAAAAUCCUACGCUGGAACGUGCUGGGCCUGCAAGGGGCACUGCUGACCCACUUCCUACACCCUGUGUAUCUCAAAUCUGUCACACUGGGUAAGGGACCUGCCUUGGGAGUUGGAACCCACCUGUCCUUCUCCACCCCAGUCCCAGAAAACUUCAUGCUUCAGUCAACCCACUUUCCACAGUGAGCUCAGCCCCGUCGUCAGCAGGGGGUGCCGGCCUGCACAGGCCGGAGGGUGGCCAGGAGGCCGAGGAGGGGGGCCAGGCCAGUCUCCAAGACGGGUCGGAGAAACGCGGCAGAUGGCAGCAGCAGCAUCUGGUUUUCCUUGUUCUCCUCAGUCCUUGGCCUUACCCGAAACAUUCCGUUUUGUGCUUCAAUAUUUGAUGAUCCUGUGUGUCCUGUGCUGCCACAGUUAGAGGCCCUGCCUGUCAGGGGCUCUCUGUCCUGACAAUUCUGCCUUAUACCUUCCAGCCCCCGGGGGCCUCAGCUUCUCCAUAGCUUUGGUGAACACAGAUGUAUGGGUUUUUGUUUCUGUUUUUACUUUCUUUUUUAUACCCAGGGUACCUUUUCAGCCAAGGACAUCUGACCCGGGCUAUCUGCUGUCGUGUGACAAGAGACGGGAGUGCGUUUGAGGCUGGAUUACGAUACCCCUUUGUUGUCAACCACCCGAAGGUCUGUGCCCCUGUCCUGUUCCCCUUUUCAAGCAUUCCCAUCAGCAGAGCAGAAAUAUGGUCAAGGGAGCCAUGGUUGGUGUCCUCUGGAGGCCAAGGGCUUUCCUCCUCUAGCCUGACACGAUCUGAAUCGAGGUGGAGAGUACUUCUAGAGUGUGCUCCGGUGUAACCAAGCCAUGUUAAAUCAAGGGGGAGACGGUGGCCCACCUCCCUCUUCCCCAUGAUUCGGGAGUCCCUGCUCCCAGAACUUAGCCCUGAAUGGUGUCCACCUCUCUCUCUUCACUCCUGGGACUCCCAGGUGGGCCGAGUCAGUGUGUAUGACUCCAAGAGGCAAUCCGGGAAGACUAAGGAGACGAGCGUCAACUGGUGUUUGGCUGACGGCUUCGACCUGGAGAUCCUGGAUGGUACCAGGGGCACCGUGGACGGGUAAGGAAGGGGGAGGGUGCAGGGCAAGCAGGAUCCUCUCCAGAGCUAGGGCCACGUCCCACCACGGGUGUCCCCAGUGGCUCCCACUCCCCUGUCCCAGGUGAAUAACCAGUGCCUUUGUUUCCCCAGGCCACGAAAUGAAUUGUCGCGGGUAUCGAAAAAGAACAUUUUUCUUCUGUUUAAGAAGCUCUGCUCCUUCCGGUACCGCAGGGACUUACUGAAACUCUCCUACGGUGAGGCCAAGAAAGCCGCCCGCGACUAUGAGAUAAACAAGAACUACUUCAAAAAGAGCCUCAAGGACAUGGGUUACGGAAACUGGAUAAGCAAACCCCAGGAGGAGAAGAACUUCUAUCUCUGCCCCGUACCCAACGACUGAGGCUGGGGGUUGGCGGGGAGGGGGGGGGUCCUGGCAUUCCUCAUCACAUUGGCCUAGGGUGGGGGGGGGUUAACCCCCACCUUUUUUUUUUUAAUGGAACCAUAAUUAGAGAUACUGAGAACUUUGGGUUCCCUUUAUCCUGCUUUCUUUGGGGUUUCUAGGCAGAAUCUGGCCAGGCCCCUUCUCUUACUUCAAGUGAGAGGCAGAGACCUACAGGCAGAGAAAGGGGUUGACCUUUCCACCCAGAGCAUAAGCAGUCACCCAGCCCCUGUGGCCCAUCUCCUCCUGAGCUUUGUUUUCCCGUUUCCUUUUUGUGGGUGUGUUUCUACACUGACCUCUCGUGGACUUGAUCAGGUUCCAGUCAGUUCUCUGUGAACCGUGUCAGGGACCAAGGAUCUCGUUUAUGGAUCCCACAGGCCCCUCUAUUUCCCACCCCCGGCUUCUGAGAUUCUUACCUGUGAUCACUGAGUCUCUCCUCCCACCCUGGAGGGUAAAGAGGUGGACUUCAGGAAUUAGGUGAAAUAUUUACAAGGGUAGGAACUGAAGACUACGGCGGAUUAACUACCAGUGCCAAUGGAAGUGGGACUGGAAUCUGCGAACCCUGCUCAGCAGUGGGAACCUGCACUGUGUCCAGGAAAAAGCCGCUGCUGGCGAAGCGCAUCCCUUCCCGGGGCAGCAGGAAGUUGAGAACCAGCAGACGGGCUAGGAAGUUACCCACGCCGUAGGCGGUCCCCCCUGCAGAGUGACACAGACCACUACCAGGGGCACAGACAGACGUUCCUUGGGCUAUUGCCAAGCUCCCAUCUGCCCAUAAGCCCAUAGACCCCAGUAAACUAGUGUGAAAAACUUCAGGACAAUUCUUAGAGGGUAAAUCGUCUGCUCAGAUAGUUAGGACUUAGCAAGAAUAGGGCAGAAAUCAUGUUGGGACAAAUCGUUGUUCUGUGCAGUUCAAUAUUUCUCAGCACUGAUCCAAGGAAAGUUGACUAAACCCAGUAGAAUUAGGGCUCUUUUAAAGAAUGCCAGAGACGUUGGUUCUCAACCGCAGUCGCACAGAUUUAAAAUGCAGAUGGCCUUUUCCAUCCAUCCCAGGGCCUCAUCGUGUCAGAUGGCUCUGGGACUGGCAGAUGAUUUCCCACACUCCUGCCUCCCACCCGCAAACUGCUUCCCCACCUGGUCUGGCCCACCUCUUCAGUAGUGGAUAUGUCUGUGUUUGCACUUUGAUCUCUCUGGCUACUUUCUGUACCUGUGACCAAAAACUGAAUGAAAUAAUAAUGCAGGUUUUAAAAAAGACACUAAGGAUGUCUUUGUGGGACACUGAAGCAUCCCAAGGGAACUGGUGGGGAAAUGGGGCCUGUCUCUGGGGGAGAAGGGGCCGGGGCUUUGUGAGUAUUGCCAAGCUUGGGGUAUUAGCUGAAGGCAUGUGACUUCAGUGCUGACCUGCGGAGUGACAGUGCUCACUGUGUGGGGGCAGGGUGAUCUUGUGGCUCCGGGACAGGUCCUCCCGGCUGGAGGAUGACUACCUACCAGUUCCUCAGGAUGUCUGGCAGCUUUGGUCUGCCUUGGGCAUUAGAAUCUCUGGCAGAGAUCUGACUCAGCAGUCCCCCACCCCAUCACUGGGAGCACAGGGGCUCUCAAGAGAUCAGAGCCCCACUCGCCCCCAGGAUCUUAUCUAGCAAACUUGUCAUAUCCAGUUUCUGCUGUAAGAAGAAAGCGAGAAGCACCCCUGCCCUCCACACCCUGCUGGAAUUGAGCCGUGUCAGGCCCCGCCCCCCCCGUGUCCCAGGCCCCGCCCCUCAGAGUCACACAGGAGGGGUGGGGGGCAGAGCAUCCCCCCUGUGUUCACUUCUGUCCAAUCUUUGUUUUAACAAGCAAGACCCCUCCCUCCUUUCUUUAAUGGUUUUUUGUAGUUGAUUUGUCUGAACUGUGGCUGUUGUGCAUUAUCUUUGAAUAAUCACUUGUAAAAAUUGUUGAUGCUUGAAGCUAUUUCCUUUACUCAAGUUGAAAGGACUCUGUUGGCUUUGGGGUCUUGACAGUGACUCCAAGAGCAGAGUGGGGAAGAGCCCGGGCAUAGCCUUGGUGCCAGGGAGGCUGCAGUCCAGUUUCAUGAUUCUGCUUUUUGUGUCUACCUUCAAGUGACUCACAGUAUACAUUCCUCUGAAAUAAAAACAGUGAACAGUCUGAAUCCUUAGAGAGCUUCAUGUCUUGGUC